Molecule: ribosomal RNA, 240 nt
Filed under: uncultured bacterium
Lineage: Bacteria
Description: partial 16S ribosomal RNA
Rfam family: Bacterial small subunit ribosomal RNA
Source: RNAcentral
AUACGGAGGAUACAAGCGUUAUCCGGAUUUAUUGGGUUUAAAGGGUGCGCAGGCGGACUAAUAAGUCAGAGGUGAAAUUUUGCAGCUUAACUGUAAACGUGCCUUUGAUACUGUUAGACUAGAGUUUAAGGGACGUAACCGGAAUGUGAUGUGUAGCGGUGAAAUGCAUAGAUAUGUCACAGAACGCCGAUCGUGAAGACAGGUUACUAAACUGUUACUGACGCUGAUGCACGAAAGCGU